This 874-nucleotide ribosomal RNA is filed under the name Itatsina praticola. Its description in RNAcentral is "eukaryotic LSU rRNA". It matches the Rfam family "Eukaryotic large subunit ribosomal RNA", at positions 332 to 940 of the family's 3401-position model. The record is from RNAcentral. Lineage: Eukaryota; Metazoa; Arthropoda; Arachnida; Araneae; Liocranidae.
GACCGAUAGCAAACAAGUACCGUGAGGGANAGUUGCAAAGAACUUUGAAGAGAGAGUUCAAGAGUACGUGAAACUGCUCAGAGGUAAACGGGUGGGCCCUCGAAAUCCUGUGACGAGAGGAUUCAGUCUGGAGCCGCGGUCGCGCUGGUCGGAAAAACCGAGUAGGGCUUCCCGAGACCGGGGCCGUUCGACUGCGAUGAAUCGUGGCGGCAGACGCAUUUGUCUCUCGUCCGAAGGACGCCGCAGCCGGUUGGGCAGCGCAAGCGUGACGGCCUGAGGGGCGGAAGAUGGCAGGUGGCCGGUGGCGUGCCUCGUGCGCGUCGCCGGUUGUUAGCCGUUCCGUCAGUGGCUCGUCGCCCGACCGAGGUGUCGCUAGGCCCUUCGCGGGCCCCAGCGCCUCCUCCUUAUGGAAGUCGUGACAGAACGUCGCAGGUGAAGGCUACCGUCCGCCGCACUCUCACGGAGUGGGCGGGCGAUCAGUCGGCUCCGUUGGCGAAGGCGGACACGUCGGAGGUCGGAGGCUUGCGGCGAGUAGGUCGGUCACCCACCCGACCCGUCUUGAAACACGGACCAAGGAGUCUAACAUGUGCGCGAGUCAAUGGGUCUUGAAUAGGCCCAGGGGCGCAAUGAAAGCAAAAGUCGGCUCCCGUCGACCGAGUUGGGAUCCCUCCCCCUCGGGGAGGGCGCACCAACGACCCGUCCUAUGCGGCUCGCCGCUUGGGCGGAGUGUGAGCGUACACGUUGGGACCCGAAAGAUGGUGAACUAUGCCCGGACAGGAUGAAGCCAGAAGAAAACUCUGGUGGAAGUCCGCAGCGGUUCUGACGUGCAAAUCGAUCGUCAGAUCCGGGUAUAGGGGCGAAAGACUAAUCAAUC